RNAcentral lists this long non-coding RNA (9179 nucleotides) under Equus asinus (donkey). RNAcentral's name for it is "lncRNA (ENSEASG00005029097.1)". Lineage: Eukaryota; Metazoa; Chordata; Mammalia; Perissodactyla; Equidae. The record is from RNAcentral.
UUCAACUCUUUAUUUUAAAAUAAUUUUGACUUACAGAAAUGUCACAACAAUUAUACAAAAAUAUUUUAAUGUACCCUUCACCCAGAUUCCCCAAAUGUUAACAUUUUACUGGGUUUGAUUUAUCUCUCUCUCUCUCUCAGAUUAGAUAGGUGAUGGACAGAUAGAUGAUAGAUAGGUAGGUAGGUAGAUAGGUAGAUAGAGAUAGACAUAGAUACAUUACGGAUAUAGACAAAUAUCUUGUUUCUUCUGGUCAUUCAAGUCUCAGCUGAGAUGCCACCUCUAAAAAGUCCCCUUUCCUGGCCAUUUAACCCCUGUAGCUGUGGUCCCACUCUCUCAUACUCUUCUAAUUGCAGAUCCCAACAACACUGAUCUCCAGCUGGUGUUUUUCUUGGCUGUUUACUUACUGGUCACCUCUCUGCCUCCCCACUGGGAUGUCAGUUUUAUGGGAGAAUUGUCCCGUGUGCCUUCCCUGUUCACUGUUGAAUCCUCAAAACAUAGAACAAGGCCUGCACAGAAUGGGUGCCUAGUCACUGUUUGCUGAAUCGGUGAAUUGGGGACGUGCCCAUGUGGAGUCCACACAGGCACGUGGCGUAGUCUCUGUGCUCGAGGCGCAGAUGUUCCCCAGUGCCGCAGUAGCUGCAGCAUCCCCUCUCAUCAUGGAAACAUCUGCUGUAUCUUGUUUGAGGAGGGGAUGACUGAAGACACAGCUAGCAUUUUGGUGUAAAGCCUCUGAGAAAGAGAGAGAAAACUAUACAAACAUGCACACACACAGGAAGAGAGAGCAGGGCCAGCUUAGUGGUUUAGGCAUGGCUCCGGACCCCAGCUGCCUUAGUCACAUUCAGGUUCUGCCACUUAGUACUGUGUGACCUUGGGCGAAUUACUUAAACGCUCUGUGUCUCAGGUGCCUUAUGUGUAAUAUAUAGAUAAUAAAAAUAUCUUCUUCAUAGACGUUGCACGAUGAAAUGUAUGACUGUAUUUUAAAUGCUUAGAGCCAUGCCUGGCAUCCAGUAAGUGUUCAGUUAACCUCAGCGGAGUAUGUAAUUAUAUAAUUAAGUAAGAACAGGCAGUACAUGCUGUUUGAUAGCCUUUUUUCAUUUGGCAAAAUAUUCUGAAAAUUCCAUAUCAAUACACAUUCCUUUACCACAUGAUUAUUAAUGGCUAAUAUUUUUCCAUCAUAUAGAUGUACUGUAGCAACACAAGUUUCCUGGCAUACCACCAUUGCUGGAUAUUUGAGUUGCUUCCACUUUUUCUCUAUUACAAACAACAUUACGUUGAACACCCUUGGACAUAUAUCUUUGCACACAUCAGCAACUAUUCCUUCUUAUUGCGUUCCUAGAAGUGGAAUCGUUGGGUCAAAGGCUGUGCAUAUUUUCUGACCCAAGAUACAGAUUCCAAGUCCCUGAGACAGGUUGUCCCAGAAGAGGCGUUUCCUUGGGGAUCAAGUGCAGAGGCCAGGGUGGGUCCUAAUGUCAGCCAUUUCCACACUGCCUUCUCUCCCACGGCCAGCCAGGCUGCAGUCCAUGUGUCCUGAGGCCACCACAGAUUCCAGUUGUCCUGUUUACUAGGCUCUGGGCGGGAAAACAAGCUGGACAUUCUCUUCCAAGGACUGUCAGAGACCUUUGCCUUGAACUUCAUCUAAGAGAAUGAAGACAGCCACAUCCAACCUGCUGCUGUCUCACUGCUGGCCUUCCCUCUGACCUUGACUGUGACCCUGUGACCUUGACGGUGGCACUGUGACCUUAACUGUGACCCUGUGACCUUGACUGUGACACUCAGACCUUGACAGUGACCCUGUGUGGGCAAAGACCUCUGUACCCUUUCCUCUGACCUUGACAGUGAUACUCUGACUUUGACUGUGACCCUGUGACCUUGACUGUGAUGCUCUGACCUUGACUGUGACAUUGUGUGUGCAAAGGCCUCUGUACCCUUUCCUCUGUGCUUGAAAAUGGGGAAUGGCCUAACCUUGGCAAGGCUUCUCCAAGAUGGCAAAAUAAACUAUGGAAGCUGCUGUUUCCAAAAUGGGGGACCAGUAUCCCAUUCCCACAUAGCACCCCCAUCCAGGAGGGUGGAACCUCUGAAAGGGUAAGAGGAAAAGCCGAAAAUUUCACAGAAAGAGCCACGGCUCCAGGGCCACCAGGAAGGCAGCCCAGGGCACGUGUGGAGGGACUGCCACCAUGAACGAAGCAGGCAGGAGCACAUCUAGGUUUUGUCAGACGUGAAUAUAUGCAUUUUGAGGAGCUUUCUUUAAGAAAAGAACAUUACAAAUAUAAAACGCCCACGGCCAAUACAACUUACCCAACAGGGGAUGUGUGAUGGGGGGAGGGGGGAAGAAGGUGGCCAUCGUCACCCACUGAGGUUAAAAAUCUCACACCGUGCCAACUCUUCGAACAGCACCUGACCUGCGGGGGCGUUCCCAGGCCACUCUGGGAAGUGGCUCCAAAGCGUCGCUUGAUUAGCAUCGCCCUGUGAUUGGAACGUCUUGGAGCUGAAGGCCAGAGGCAGACUCUUGUCUAAACACCAUUCCGUAUAAACUCCCGCAUUCGGGGCGACCUCCACCCCACACGCUGAGACGGAAUUUCCUGCCAAAUGCAGGCGGGUGUGGCAAGCCAAAUUUAUUUGAUUUAGAAAUACAAGUAAAUAUGAUACUUCUUGCAGAGAAGUGUCCUAAAACAUCUUACUUAUACCAUACUCAGGGAAUACCUUUAUUUUUAAAAGACAAUCCAGCAACAUAUCCUGAGAAAAUUACUUCUCUUCCUGAGUCUGUUUUCCCAUCUCAGACAUGGGCAUGACAAACCCAGGCCCCGGCUCAGUGUGGGAAUGAAGUGAGCUACCACACAGAAGAUCCUGGCACGGGGACCAUUGUUUCUGUGCGUCUACUGGGUCCAGACCCUUGGGCCAGUGCAGGGAAGACAGAGGUGAUGCACCCCAGACCCUGUCCUCAGGCCUUCACAGUCGAACCUCCCUGAGGUCUACUGAAGAGGUUAGCUGUGCAAAACUGAGCUUUGCAAAGCAGGGAGGGGCCUGGCCUGGUGACUGUCAGCUCACAGACGAGAGAAGCUCACUCAGACUGAGGCCCGCAGGCCCAGGGAGGCCAGCCAGCUUUGGGAGCCGACGUGGCGAGGUGGUCAGCCAGGGGUGGGUCCGAGUGCCAGCCUGCCUUGCUGUGUCUUCUGCGGCAAAUCACUUCCCCUCUGGGAAUCUGAGUUUCCACGAGGAUUUGGGGAGAAGCACUAACUGAGAGAAGUACCCAACACAGAACAGGGGCUCAGUAGAUGGAAACGUUUUCUGUUAUAUCCAUCCCCACCCCGAUUGAGAAUUUGGGGUAAAAUCUGGUUCCCUGGGAAGCCAUUUCUCAAUCCUCUUUCUCUGCAAGAAGCAGACUUCCAAGUCCAAGCAGAGGGCUUGAGAGACUUCCCCCUUCUACUUAAUUCUACCGAAUUCUAUUUAAAUGAAGCAUCCUCCUUCAAGCAGGAAACUCAAACCACUUCCUCCUGCUAGAGUUCUUUGCAAUGUCCCCUUUUCUUAACAUCUGGCCAGAUGCCCAACUGCAAGGAGCCUGAAGCCUUUGGUUUGGGGACGGCUCUGUGGCACUUUUCCCUGGUUCCUGAGCUGACUCGGGCCAGCGGGUCUGGCCUGAGAAGCCCAAGUCUGCAACCCAGAGCUCCUGCCAUGGCACUCCCGAGGCUUUCUUCUCAUUGGCAUCCUCCAGUCUGCCAGGCAGCCUGCUGCCAAGAUGGCAAGCCACACUCCAGGGACUUUUGUCACUCCCAGUAUCUUGUCCCUGGAUGCCUUUCUCCACUCCACCAGCCAUGUCUUUGCUGCAGCUCAUUCUCAUGAGGACGAGGGACAUCCUGAGAUCACAGAUUGGGCACUGGACCGAGAGUGGGGAGACCUCGGCUCUGCCAGCAACACAUGCAGCUGGGAUGUCACUAAGCUCCCACUUUCUCAGAUGCAGAAUAAUGGGGGCUGACCCAGAUCAGCCCGAGGGGUCUCCUAAACAGCAGUCCAUGCACCCCCUCAUCCUACACUCUUUCUGUGAAGGUCCCAGCGCCCUGUUCAUUUGAGCAAAAAGUUUAAAAUUCAGGACUCCUCUUGAGUACCAGCUGCAGACUGGGCCCUAUGUCAGGGCCUAAAGAUCUUUAAAUGAACAACAACGCCCUGCUCUGAAGGAGUUCCCAGAUGAGAAACAGGGACAUGUAAAGAUGACAAGAAAGGGGCUGAUGCUAGAAACGAGCACAGAGCCGACAGCCACUGCCCCCUUAGAGCCUCGUCCCAGAGGAGCAACCACACUGAGUCCUGAGGAUGAAGUUGGAGAGCCCUGAGUUCAGAGGAGGUGAGGGAAGGAGAGUCUAAGAAGAAGGAACGGCAUGCGCAAAGCCAGGUCAGAGGUUUGGAAUUAAUCCCACGUGGCCACUGUGCCAUGGUCAUACCACAAGCAGCAGAAGGGUCCAGCAAAGAGGAUGGGACAUGUGCUGGAGGUCCUGGGCCUCAGCCCUCCCCAUGCAGAAGGAGACCCAUCUGUCUGAUGGCGGCUCGUGGAGGUUUCCAGGGCAAUCUGAUGUGGAGGCACUCACCAAACCCAGGAAGCAGGAGCGACUUCCGGGCACCAGCUCCCAGCCCAGCGCCAGCCCGGGGCUCUAGGCGUUUCCCUGCAGAGUCUCCGACUGAGACUUGAAGAAAACAGUCUUAAAAGUCAGACAAAUAUUUAGAGUUUUACAAACUCAGUCUACAAAUCGGGAGGAAUUGGGAAACUCGCUUGUCAGAUGUGCGGUCUGUUCUCUACAAUCCAAAGCGGGCUUGGUUUCCGGGAGGGCGAUGACACUCCUGCCUGCUCACUGCUACGGUGGGACCACGUCUGAAGAGGCGGUGUUUCACGUUAAGGCGACGGAAUUUAAUGAAACAAAGGAGAAAAAGUGGCAUCAAUUUGGUGUUAGGUGAGAAUCAAAAGAAAUAUAUUGCUGAAUUGACUAGAGUUGUUCCAGCCUUAACUGCUGUCCAAGGGAAAAGUGACAUUUCCCAUCUCCUGGUCCCCUUUGCUAGCCCCAUACUUUCACCCUAAUAUAUUCAUUCCGAAAAAAUCAGAGCUUGCUCAGCAAAAGGAAGAUGGAGUCCCUGUAUCUUUCAUCCCUGCCUUCCCCAUGAGAAGGGAACUGGCAUUUCCUGAGGACCUGCUCUGGGCCCGUGCUUUAUCUACACUGGACUUUCAUCUAAUGCCUAACCCUCCAAGGAGCCCACGAUUUUCUCCAAGGCUGAAGCAACCAAGGCUAGAGAGGUUAGAUGAACUUGUUAAGGUCAUGUAGCUCAUGAAAUAUUGUGUGUGACUGACCGAGUUAGGAUUCUGAUCCCCAUUCUUUUCUGACACUAGAGCCCCACGCCCUGUCCACCUGCCCCACUGCCUUCCUAUAAUCCACAGAUUUGCUUCAAGGAGUGGCUGUCUAAGCGUAGUAUCUAUAAAUGAAGGGCUUUCAAAGCAAUGGAAUGGUAUAAGCCCCAUUUAAACAUUCAUUCAUUCAUUCAACAAAUAAUUACUUGAUGCUGUGAUGUGCCAGGUAUUUCCAGCCAAAUAGGCGAACCCCUGCCCUUGCGUAAUUCACAUCCUAUGAGAGGGACAGUGUGAUGGGCGUGAGCAAGGACUUGGGAGCCAGACUCCUGGGACCACAUCUUAACUCAGCCACUUGUGAGCUGUGUGACCUUCAACACAUUACCUAACCUCUCUGUGUCUCAGUUUCCUCAUCUGUAUAGAGGGGCAAAUAAUACCACCUCCGUUUAAAGUUGUUAUGAGGUCUGAAUGAGCUGAUAUUUGUCGAGCAUUUACAAAUGAGUAUCAUUAAAUAAAUAGUAAGGGAACGUAGGUAAUAACAAAGUAAGUAGAUAUAUAGUGUAUUGCAAGAUGCGGAGUGUGAAGGUGGACAAUGAAUCAGGGGAUAGGGAUCGAGCAUGUUGGUGGGGGGUCUGCCUGUUAGUUAGGGUGGCCAGGGAAGGCCGCACUGAGAAGGUGUCAUUUGAACAAAGACCAGAAAGUCAGUGAGCCAACAGGAGCUGCAUAUAAGCCUUUCCCUGGUGGUUUGGAAGAUGCCAGAGGCAUCUGGGGCCCUGCUCCAACUCUUAAUUAUGAACACCAAUUCCCUGAGAUGAUCAAUUUAGGGAUACGGUUAACAAAUUGCAUCCUUACAUUGUGAUGUGAUAUAAAUCAUCAGUGUGUUGGUAAAAGGCUCAUUCUCUCAGGUGGUCUCAGAAACCAGCGAAAAGGCCUUAUGCCGUAAGGGAUAAGGUUAUUUCUGGACUAUUCCUUUAUUAUAAGAACAAAAUUACAUGGUACAUUCACAGUCCUUAUCUCACAGAUAAAGUUUGCCUAGCUGGCUCCAGGGACCCAUACACAAUGUGCACAUGUCCUGACCUUGACUUUUUCUCGGACCACACCUGCCCGAGAUCCUUCGGUCUUGGGACUGGGGUGGGCGCCCGGACGGCACUGUUCAACCAUCCCUGAGUGAAAAGGAUCCAGGCCAGCCACAUGCCUGCUCUCCUGACCACACAAGGAGUGCCGCUUCAAAGGCUUUUUAGAUGCCAGAAUAGUCAAAGAAUAAUUUUAUUUUGGUGUAUUCCCCAUAUGCUGAGAAUCAUCUUUUUUAUGCUUCCAAGGCCUAGAAAUUAGGGACGUGGUUAAAAAUUUCAUCCUUAAUAUUGUGAUGUGAAAUAAAGAACGCUGGCCUGGGAGGGUGGGGCAAGGGUCCACCUCCCGGCUCCAGCAUGGACUCCCAUGUGUCUGUGGACAUCACAGCUGGUCUCUGGUUCUCGUCUCUUUGUCUAUAAAAUGAGGAGAUAAGGGGGAAAAUACACGCACACACACACACACCCUGCUCUUUCUUUAUUUCUUGCCUGUUCUGGACCAGGCGUAUGAUGCAUAUUGUCUCAUUUUAAAAUCACAACAAUCCUAAGUCAGUGUCCUUGUUACACUGCAGGUAUAACGUCACGUAGGGGGAAGAGGCUGAGCGAGAUUGGAGCCCUGACCUGACUCCAGCUAUGAAGCUGGAAUCACUGAGGCCCUCUGAGAAUCUUUCCAAGACUUGGACUCUGAUCCAGAGACUGUACGCGCUAUUCAGUCUUGCUUUCUGGGGAAGGCAUCCCAUCCCCUUGCCUACUCCUUUUCUGCAGCUUGAGUUGUAAGUAAUCUCUCUUUUCCUCCAGUGUCCAUCUCAUGGGUUUUGGCCCAGCUAUGAAGACCCUCUGGCAAAAGGAAAACAGCAUAGAUUGGCAAGCAAGUGACAGAAGUGGCCCGAGGCAAUCCUCCGCUUCAUCCUCUUGCCCCUGGAGGCAGAUCAGGCUAAACACAGAAGCAGGGCUUCAAAGGAGGGGCCUGGAUCCUCCCCACAGUGACUCACUGGGCUCCAGAGGAAGCCGGGGUCUCCCGGGAUCAGUAGUCGGCCUUGAGGUGGUUCUCUGGAAGCCCUCUCCCACGGCGAUGAGAGCAAAGAGAGGCCGUGUGGUCUCAGGGAGAGACCCCGCGUGUAGCACAGCCUCUAAUUCUCUGCGUGACCUCGGGCAAGCUACCUCCUCAGUUCUUACAAAGAGGGUGUUGGAGCUGUAGGGUGAGCAAGCAGCUUACAGUUUGGGAAUGAGGCAGAUGGAGUCUGGAUCCCAGUCCUGCCACUCAUCAGGGAAUGUGAGCUGUCACCUUUCCACCAAGGCACUCAGCAUCUAAUCGAGAGCUCCUGGCUCUGCACUUGCAGCCUCCCCAGGGGGCAGCCUGGGUCAAUUACCGCCUCUGGGCCUCAGCUCCCUCCUCUGUCGAGUGCACAGCAGAACACAGGCAGUGUGAACACUGGAGGUCACGGACAACAAGUGUCUGCUCCGGAGCAGGCCUUCGGGAGCUGUUAGGUCCAACUCCCUGCCCCUCCGCUAGCCUCGACUGGACCGUCGACGCAGCGCUUCAGGACGUGCCCCAGCCCACGCCACUGCAGAGCAGGUCUGUUCCGAACCAGACCACAGCCAGAGAUGGGUCUCCAAAUCCCGCCUCCAGAGCCUGACUUACCCACGACUGGCAUCGGAGGCCCACAGCCUGGAGUGGAGCAGGCCUGCACCGCACGCACACUCCACAGAGAGAUGACGUGGACAGGACAGGGCAAUUCAACACUGCCAUGGCCCAGGGAACCCAGGCCUCCUCUCCUAAAAGGCAGGAAUCAGACGCACUGAGUCCAGGAACGGGUGGCUUCCCCAGACCCAGACAAUCAAAGAAGAAACAGAAGCUUAUCAGAUGUCUCCUGCUGCUGGGCUGAGCCACACCAGUGCCUGCGGUGUGGGAACUGAGGCUCACGGUCUAAGUGAGAAUUGCCAGAGGUCAUGCAAGUGAGUUCGAAUCUCAAACCACAUCCACCAGAGGGCAAAGCCCAGGCUUCUGCGCUCUGUGUCAUUUCUUUCAAUCCCACCGUCCCACAUUCAUACCUUCGCCAAGUCUCGUUAAGUCCUGCCAUGUGUCAGACACUGUUCUGGGCUGGGGACACAGCAGCUAUCCAGACAAGGACCCUGCCCUCGAGGAGCUCCCACGCCAGUGGAGGGGCAUCUGAACAAACGCCCGUGGCAAUUUUGGAUAAACUGAGUGCUAUGAAAAAAAUAAAAUAAUGGGAAUGAGAGUGACUAUUGUGGGCGUGGAGAGGGGAGAGGGCAGGACGUGUUUCCCUCGGGUGCUUAGGGAAAGGCCCCCGGAAGAAGGGAUGUUUGAGUGAGCCUUGAAUGAUGAGAAGGCAAACACGGGGAGAUGGGGGGAGACAUCCCGCAGGCAGAAGGAAGAGCAGAGGUCCUGGGCUGGGCACCAGCUUGUGCGUUCAAGGGUCCGAAAGAGGCCAGAGAGGCUAAAACAGAGGGAGCCACGGGCAUACACAGUAGGAGAUGAGGUCAGGAGCACGGAGAAGGGCCAGUUCACGGGGUGCAGAGACCGCAGUUAGUCCUGUGUGAAGAGGGUCUUAGGACGGAAUGUGGAGUGAGUAAACUGUCCGCAUUAGAAGGGCAGCCUCCCUGCAAGAGCCAGCCUUGCACGAAGGGAACAUCCCCACUGGGCCUCUUCCCAACUGUGUGGCUGUGGGCAAGCGCCUUACCCUCUCUGGACCUUGGCCUCCUCCCGUGUAAAGCGGAGAUUAUAACACCUGCCUCACAGACCAGGGGUGAGGAUUCGACACCGUGGACUG